RNAcentral lists this non-coding RNA (110 nucleotides) under Nocardioides sp. Its description in RNAcentral is "TPP sequence". It matches the Rfam family "TPP riboswitch aptamer (THI element)". Rfam says of the family: Vitamin B(1) in its active form thiamin pyrophosphate (TPP) is an essential coenzyme that is synthesised by coupling of pyrimidine and thiazole moieties in bacteria. RNAcentral also lists the same sequence under 2 other names. The record is from RNAcentral. Lineage: Bacteria; Bacillati; Actinomycetota; Actinomycetes; Propionibacteriales; Nocardioidaceae.
CCGCAUCCACACGGGAGCCCGAUGCAUCGGGCUGAGAUGGGGCUGAUGCCGCCCCGACCGUCGAACCUGCUCCGGAUCAUGCCGGCGAAGGAAGUGAGAUCGACGUGUUG